This 540-nucleotide small RNA is filed under the name Pan troglodytes (chimpanzee). RNAcentral's name for it is "processed transcript". Lineage: Eukaryota; Metazoa; Chordata; Mammalia; Primates; Hominidae. The record is from RNAcentral.
GCAGAUAACAAAUUUCCUCGGUUUCUUCCCGCAGCUUCUCUCGGCAACUCUCUCGCGCGGGUUUCCUUACAAACUCUUCACGGACCACGGCGGCCUCAACGAGAAGCGCAAGCAGCGGCGCAUCCGCACCACUUUCACCAGUGCGCAGCUCAAAGAGCUGGAGAGGGUCUUCGCGGAGACUCACUACCCCGACAUCUACACUCGGGAGGAGCUGGCCCUGAAGAUCGACCUCACAGAGGCGCGAGUCCAGGUGUGGUUCCAGAACCGCCGCGCCAAGUUUCGCAAGCAGGAGCGCGCAGCGGCAGCCGCAGCGGCCGCGGCCAAGAACGGCUCCUCGGGCAAAAAGUCUGACUCUUCCAGGGACGACGAGAGCAAAGAGGCCAAGAGCACUGACCCGGACAGCACUGGGGGCCCAGGUCCCAAUCCCAACCCCACCCCCAGCUGCGGGGCGAAUGGAGGCGGCGGCGGCGGGCCCAGCCCGGCUGGAGCUCCGGGGGCAGCGGGGCCCGGGGGCCCGGGAGGCGAACCCGGCAAGGGCGG